AGGGCAGGUCAGGAGCCCCUUCCGUGGGGAGGCUGACUAUAGCCCCCAAGGCCCACACCGUCCACAACGCAGGUGGCAUUGUCCAGGGAUCCAACCUACAAGUAAAAGACAUCCAAAUGAGCAAUGGGAUUUAGAAACACAACCAUCUGGGAGCUCAGAGCAGGACUCAACAGACAGGUGGAAAGAAGGAGUGACUGGAUGUGGGAAUGAAUGGCAAGCCGCAGAGGAACUGGGCCAGGCUUCACCAUCAGGGUUUUCAAUCAGCUUUUCCUGCGCUCAGCCCUCGUUACAGCCAGAAAAUCUACUCUGUAAGACUCAAAUCCUUUCAAAUGUGCCGCAGUUGGUUCCUUGGCCCAGCACACAGAGUUCCAGUAUGUUCUGUGGCUUCAGCCGCUGCAGAAAACAGUGCUCUGCAUA
Long non-coding RNA from Oryctolagus cuniculus (rabbit), 417 nucleotides. RefSeq lists it as uncharacterized. The record is from RefSeq and is a predicted model, not a curated record. Lineage: Eukaryota; Metazoa; Chordata; Mammalia; Lagomorpha; Leporidae.